GCGCAUGCUAGGCGGCCUGUUAAGUCAGAUGUGAAAGACCCCGGGGCGUUAACCUCGGAAUUGCAUUUGAAACUAGGCAGGCUAGAGUCUUGUAGAGGGGGGUAGGAAUUUCAGGUGUAGCGGUGAAAUGCGUAGAGAUCUGAAGGAAUACCAGUGGCGAAGGCGGCCCCCCUGGACAAAGACUGACGCUCAGAUGCGAAAGCGUGGGGAGCAAACAGGAUUAGAUACCCCUGGUAG
RNAcentral lists this ribosomal RNA (237 nucleotides) under uncultured bacterium. RNAcentral describes it as "partial 16S ribosomal RNA". It matches the Rfam family "Bacterial small subunit ribosomal RNA", at positions 565 to 793 of the family's 1533-position model. The record is from RNAcentral.